GACGAACGCUGGCGGCGUGCUUAACACAUGCAAGUCGAACGGAAAGGCCCUGCUUUUGUGGGGUGCUCGAGUGGCGAACGGGUGAGUAACACGUGAGUAACCUGCCCUUGACUUUGGGAUAACUUCAGGAAACUGGGGCUAAUACCGGAUAGGAGCUCCUGCUGCAUGGUGGGGGUUGGAAAGUUUCGGCGGUUGGGGAUGAACUCGCGGCUUAUCAGCUUGUUGGUGGGGUAGUGGCUUACCAAGGCUUUGACGGGUAGCCGGCCUGAGAGGGUGACCGGCCACAUUGGGACUGAGAUACGGCCCAGACUCCUACGGGAGGCAGCAGUGGGGAAUAUUGCACAAUGGGCGGAAGCCUGAUGCAGCAACGCCGCGUGCGGGAUGACGGCCUUCGGGUUGUAAACCGUUUUCGCCUGUGACGAAGCGUGAGUGACGGUAAUGGGUAAAGAAGCACCGGCUAACUACGUG
RNAcentral lists this ribosomal RNA (468 nucleotides) under uncultured bacterium. Its description in RNAcentral is "partial 16S ribosomal RNA". It matches the Rfam family "Bacterial small subunit ribosomal RNA", at positions 28 to 507 of the family's 1533-position model. The record is from RNAcentral.